Molecule: long non-coding RNA, 230 nt
Organism: Phascolarctos cinereus (koala)
Lineage: Eukaryota; Metazoa; Chordata; Mammalia; Diprotodontia; Phascolarctidae
Source: RefSeq, a predicted model, not a curated record
AAGUAAUUUGCCCAAGGUAUCUCACACACAGAUAAGUGCUGCAAGAUUCAGAAACGUUAAAUGACUUGCCCAAGAUGAUACAAAUUGUAAAACUUACUCUAGGGAGGAAUUCAGUUUAACUGAAAGAACACAGGAAAGACUACUACCUCAGGAGGCUUUCAUAAGGAUCAAAUGAGACAAUAAAUCUGAAGAUACUUUGAAAGAAGUAAAUAAAAUUUUAGACUUAUCGA